UAUUCUGCCCCACGGGGAAGGAUGAGAAGCUUCGACCAAAGUUCGACUCGAGCGAAGCGAGAGAACGUUGCCGCAGGCAACGGCCCGAAGGGCGAAGCGCUUUAGCGCCGAGUAAUCCUUCCCCCACCACUG
Molecule: small RNA, 132 nt
Filed under: Klebsiella pneumoniae
Lineage: Bacteria; Pseudomonadati; Pseudomonadota; Gammaproteobacteria; Enterobacterales; Enterobacteriaceae
Description: RtT sRNA
Rfam family: RtT RNA
About the family: This family represents a bacterial cis-regulatory element known as RtT RNA. The exact function of RtT is unknown although it is thought that it may be involved in changing the cellular response in relation to amino acid starvation.
Source: RNAcentral